UCGAGAAUCUUUCGCAAUGCCCGAAAGGGUGACGAAGCGACGCCGCGUGUGGGAUGAAGGCCUUCGGGUUGUAAACCACUGUCGGGAGUUAAGAAUUGUAGGAAUGCUAAUAGUAUUUCUACUUGACUAAGGCUCCGGAGGAAGCCACGGCUAACUCUGUGCCAGCAGCCGCGGUAAUACAGAGGCGGCAAGCGUUGUUCGGAAUUAUUGGGCGUAAAGAGCAUGUAGGCGGCUAUGUAAGUCGGUUGUGAAAGCCUUCCGCUUAACGGAAGAAUGGCGGUCGAAACUGCAUGGCUUGAGUGCGGGAGGGGAGAGUGGAACUUCUGGUGGAGCGGUGAAAUGCGUAGAUAUCAGAAGGAACGUCGGCGGCGAAAGCGACUCUCUAGACCGUAACUGACGCUGAGUGUGCGAAAGCUAGGGGAGCAAACGGGAUUAGAUACCCCGGUAGUCCUAGCCGUAAACGAUGGG
Molecule: ribosomal RNA, 468 nt
Filed under: uncultured anaerobic ammonium-oxidizing bacterium
Lineage: Bacteria
Description: bacterial SSU rRNA
Rfam family: Bacterial small subunit ribosomal RNA
Source: RNAcentral